Molecule: ribosomal RNA, 539 nt
Filed under: Escherichia coli
Lineage: Bacteria; Pseudomonadati; Pseudomonadota; Gammaproteobacteria; Enterobacterales; Enterobacteriaceae
Description: bacterial SSU rRNA
Rfam family: Bacterial small subunit ribosomal RNA
Source: RNAcentral
AAGAGUUUGAUCAUGGCUCAGAUUGAACGCUGGCGGCAGGCCUAACACAUGCAAGUCGAACGGUAACAGGAAGAAGCUUGCUUCUUUGCUGACGAGUGGCGGACGGGGGAGUAAUGUCUGGGAAACUGCCUGAUGGAGGGGGAUAACUACUGGAAACGGUAGCUAAUACCGCAUAACGUCGCAAGACCAAAGAGGGGGACCUUCGGGCCUCUUGCCAUCGGAUGUGCCCAGAUGGGAUUAGCUUGUUGGUGGGGUAACGGCUCACCAAGGCGACGAUCCCUAGCUGGUCUGAGAGGAUGACCAGCCACACUGGAACUGAGACACGGUCCAGACUCCUACGGGAGGCAGCAGUGGGGAAUAUUGCACAAUGGGCGCAAGCCUGAUGCAGCCAUGCCGCGUGUAUGAAGAAGGCCUUCGGGUUGUAAAGUACUUUCAGCGGGGAGGAAGGGAGUAAAGUUAAUACCUUUGCUCAUUGACGUUACCCGCAGAAGAAGCACCGGCUAACUCCGUGCCAGCAGCCGCGGUAAUACGGAGGGUGC